GCUCACUUCGGCAGAACAUAUACUAAAAUUGAAAUGAUACAGAGAUUAGCAUGCCCUUUGCGCAAGGAUGCCACACAAAUUCGUGAAGCGUUCCAUAUUUAA
Suncus etruscus (white-toothed pygmy shrew) is the source of this 102-nucleotide small nuclear RNA. The record is from RefSeq and is a predicted model, not a curated record. Lineage: Eukaryota; Metazoa; Chordata; Mammalia; Eulipotyphla; Soricidae.